AUUGAACGCUGGCGGCAUGCCUUACACAUGCAAGUCGAACGGUAACAGGUCUUCGGAUGCUGACGAGUGGCGAACGGGUGAGUAAUACAUCGGAACGUGCCUAGUAGUGGGGGAUAACUACUCGAAAGAGUGGCUAAUACCGCAUGAGAUCUACGGAUGAAAGCAGGGGAUCGCAAGACCUUGUGCUACUAGAGCGGCCGAUGGCAGAUUAGGUAGUUGGUGGGAUAAAAGCUUACCAAGCCGACGAUCUGUAGCUGGUCUGAGAGGACGAUCAGCCACAAUGGGCAGGAGACACGGCCCAGACUCCUACGGGAGGCAGCAGUGGGAAUUUUGGACAAUGGGCGCAAGCCUGAUCCAGCAAUGCCGCGUGCAGGAUGAAGGCCUUCGGGUUGUAAACUGCUUUUGUACGGAACGAAAAGCCCCGGGUUAAUACCCUGGGGUCAUGACGGUACCGUAAGAAUAAGCACCGGCUAACUACGUGCCAGCCGCCGCCGUAA
RNAcentral lists this ribosomal RNA (497 nucleotides) under uncultured bacterium. RNAcentral describes it as "partial 16S ribosomal RNA". It matches the Rfam family "Bacterial small subunit ribosomal RNA", at positions 30 to 523 of the family's 1533-position model. The record is from RNAcentral.